UAGGGAAUAUUGGGCAAUGGAGGCAACUCUGACCCAGCAACGCCGCGUGAAUGACGAAGGUUUUCGGAUUGUAAAGUUCUGUUCUAAGGGAAGAAUAAAUGACGGUACCUUAGAAGAAAGCCCCGGCAAACUACGUGCCAGCAGCCGCGGUAAUACGUAGGGGGCAAGCGUUGUCCGGAAUAACUGGGCGUAAAGGGAGUGUAGGUGGUUUGCUAAGUUAAAUGUGAAAUCCCAGGGCUUAACCCUGGAACUGCAUUUAAUACUGGUGAACUAGAGUGCAGGAGAGGAUAAUGGAAUUCCUAGUGUAGCGGUAGAAUGCGUAGAUAUUAGGAGGAACAUCAGAGGCGAAGGCGAUUAUCUGGACUGUAACUGACACUGAGACUCGAAAGCGUGGGGAGCAAACA
Molecule: ribosomal RNA, 404 nt
Filed under: uncultured bacterium
Lineage: Bacteria
Description: partial 16S ribosomal RNA
Rfam family: Bacterial small subunit ribosomal RNA
Source: RNAcentral